UCCAACGUUAAUCGGGGCAGGGUGAGUCGACCCCUAAGGCGAGGCCGAAAGGCGUAGUCGAUGGGAAACAGGUUAAUAUUCCUGUACUUGGUGUUACUGCGAAGGGGGGACGGAGAAGGCUAUGUUGGCCGGGCGACGGUUGUCCCGGUUUAAGCGUGUAGGCUGGUUUUCCAGGCAAAUCCGGAAAAUCAAGGCUGAGGCGUGAUGACGAGGCACUACGGUGCUGAAGCAACAAAUGCCCUGCUUCCAGGAAAAGCCUCUAAGCAUCAGGUAACAUCAAAUCGUACCCCAAACCGACACAGGUGGUCAGGUAGAGAAUACCAAGGCGCUUGAGAGAACUCGGGUGAAGGAACUAGGCAAAAUGGUGCCGUAACU
Molecule: ribosomal RNA, 375 nt
Filed under: Escherichia coli
Lineage: Bacteria; Pseudomonadati; Pseudomonadota; Gammaproteobacteria; Enterobacterales; Enterobacteriaceae
Description: partial 23S ribosomal RNA
Rfam family: Bacterial large subunit ribosomal RNA
Source: RNAcentral